CAUUACAAAACCUAAUACUGACUUAGCGUCAUACUGUAAUGACACCACACACACACACACACACACACACACACACACACACACACACACACACACACACACACACACAAACAAACCCCAUCCCGUUAAAACAUCAUCAUGCAAAAAGUGGUUUUACUUUGGCACAAUUUUGAAAUAAUACUAAAUAUCAAAGGCCAAUGUAAAUGAGUAAAUGAUAAGGGAAAGUACUGACUAGCCUGAAUGUGCAUGCCUCCUUCUGUUAAAGCAUAUUACGACACAGAUAUAAGCUGUGCAUACAAAGGAUGUUCCAGCCAGGCUCCAGAUCAUGUUCCAAUCAUGCGAUCAGACAAUAUUCAACAGCAUCGUCAUGCAAUUUUAAGGAACUAGUGAAAAGCACUGAAGACACAGGAAUAUAAUGUGUAUUUUCUCUUAUGUUAUAGCUUAGUCUCAACAUCUCACUAAGGACUUCUCAAAAGCAAAGGAUUAGCGUUGCAAAAUUACAGGAAGUUUCAAAGUGGCACAAAAUACUUUUUGGAAUUCAUGGGAAUUUACAUAGAAUUUACAAUUCGGGGAGUUUAAGCACACUGAUUGCUUUUCCCCUUAUUCUUAUAUGCUUCCUGUCAUCAAUUGAGCCACAUUACUUAAAGCAUUACAAAUAAAACAGUCAGGUACUUUAACAAUGUUAGAAAAAUCAAGACUCAAGAGGCACCAAUUCUGCGUGCCUGACUAGUGUAGAACAAACCUCAAGCUCCGUAAUGAGGAGAACCUGGGCCUAACAGCCAGAGGCAGGCGGAGAAAGGAUCUGUUAUAGAACAGAUAUCUAGAGCAGAGAUGAAGAGGGAGGGAAGAGAGAUGGGAGAGGGAGGAAAGAGGGAAAGACAGGGGAAGACCGGGGGAAGAGAAGGAAAGACAGGGGAAGACCGGGGGAAGAGAGGGAAAGACAGGGGAAGACCGGGGGAAGAGAAGGAAAGACAGGGGAAGACCGGGGGAAGAGAAGGAAAGACAGGGGAAGACAGGGAAAGAGAGAAGAGAAGGAAAAUACAGGGAAAGAGAGAAGAGAAGGAAAAUACAGGGAAAGAGAGGGAAAGAAAAUCACACAGAGAGGAUGAAGAGAGGGAAAGAGGGUGAGGAGAGGGACAGAGAGUGAGAAGAGGGACAGAGGAUGAGGAGAGGGACAGGGGGUGAGGAGAGGGACAGCAGGUGAGGAGAGGGACAGCAGGUGAGGAGAGGGACAGAGGGUGAGGAGAGGGACAGAGGGUGAGGAGAGGGACAGAGGGUGAGGAGAGGGACAGAGAGUGAGAAGAGGGACAGAGGAUGAGGAGAGGGACAGGGGGUGAGGAGAGGGACAGCAGGUGAGGAGAGGGACAGCAGGUGAGGAGAGGGACAGAGGGUGAGGAGAGGGACAGAGGGUGAGGAGAGGGACAGAGAGUGAGAAGAGGGACAGAGGAUGAGGAGAGGGACAGGGGGUGAGGAGAGGGACAGCAGGUGAGGAGAGGGACAGCAGGUGAGGAGAGGGACAGAGGGUGAGGAGAGGGACAGAGGGUGAGGAGAGGGACAGAGGGUGAGGAGAGGGACAGAGGAUGAGGAGAGGGACAGAGGAUGAGGAGAGGGACAGGGGGUGAGGAGAGGGACAGAGGGUGAGGAGAGGGAAAGAGGGUGAGGAGAGGGACAGAGAGUGAGAAGAGGGACAGAGGAUGAGGAGAGGGACAGGGGGUGAGGAGAGGGACAGCAGGUGAGGAGAGGGACAGCAGGUGAGGAGAGGGACAGAGGGUGAGGAGAGGGACAGAGGGUGAGGAGAGGGACAGAGAGUGAGAAGAGGGACAGAGGAUGAGGAGAGGGACAGGGGGUGAGGAGAGGGACAGCAGGUGAGGAGAGGGACAGCAGGUGAGGAGAGGGACAGAGGGUGAGGAGAGGGACAGAGGGCGAGGAGAGGGACAGAGGGUGAGGAGAGGGACAGAGGGUGAGGAGAGGGACAGAGGAUGAGGAGAGGGACAGAGGGUGAGGAGAGGGACAGAGGGUGAGGAGAGGGACAGAGGGUGAGGAGAGGGACAGAGGAUGAGGAGAGGGACAAAGGAUGAGGAGAGGGACAGAGGGUGAGGAGAGGGACAGAGGGUGAGGAGAGGGACAGAGGAUGAGGAGAGGGACAGAGGGUGAGGAGAGGGACAGAGGGUGAGGAGAGGGACAGAGGGUGAGGAGAGGGACAGAGGAUGAGGAGAGGGACAGAGGGUGAGGAGAGGGACAGAGGGUGAGGAGAGGGACAGAGGAUGAGGAGAGGGACAGAGGGUGAGGAGAGGGACAGAGGGGGAAGAGAAGAAAAAGAGGGGAAGACGAGGCAAAGGAGGGAAAGCAAGAAAGGGAAAGGGAGCGAAUAGAAAAUCCCAGAAAGGAGAGGAUGGAUGUCAGGCAGGUUCAGAGAGCUCCAGAUAGACAAGGGGAAGGAAAGACAGUUUACAGAUACAAUUAUAGAAGAUGGAGCCACAAACGACGUGAGACACAGCUGCCAGACAGUGAUGUUUACUUCACCACUAACACUACGAUCAGCAUCAACUCACAGACAGACAGACACGAGACAAAGACAAACAGAAGAGAGACCGAUGGGAUGUACAGUUAUAUAUCAACAUGUUCCAUUGACUAAUGAGGCAACAGGUAACUAACUAGUCAACGUGAUGGGGAUGGUACCUCAAAGCAGGUGUGUGUGUGUGUAUGUGUGUGUGUGUGUGUGUGUGUGUGUGUGUGUGUGUGUGUGUGUGUGUGUGUGUGUGUGUGUGUGUGUGUGUGUGUGUGUGUGUGUGUGUGUGUGUGUGUGUGUGUGUGUGUGUUAGAGUCCUGCAUCGGGUCGGAAAGGUCUUCAAUCAAAAUAUAUAGAUUUUUUUACAAACCCAUGAGCUUGUUGUGUUGCGAAUUCCAUUCUGUGAGUGGUGAGGCAGGCAGUAGGCUACCAGCCACCCAGUGAGAGAGUGUAGAGCAGGUACUGUCUCUUUGUGUGGUGAGGCAGGCAGUAGGCUACCAGCCACCCAGUGAGAGAGUGUAGAGCAGGUACUGUCUCUUUGUGUGGUGAGGCAGGCAGUAGGCUACCAGCCACCCAGUGAGAGAGUGUAGAGCAGGUACUGUCUAUUUGUGUGGUGAGGCAGGCAGUAGGCUACCGGCCACCCAGUGAGAGAGUGUAGAGCAGGUACUGUCUAUUUGUGUGGUGAGGCAGGCAGUAGGCUACCGGCCACCCAGUGAGAGAGUGUAGAGCAGGUACUGUCUAUUUGUGUGAUGAGGCAGGCAGUAGGCUACCGGCCACCCAGUGAGAGAGUGUAGAGCAGGUACUGUCUCUUUGUGUGAUGAGGCAGGCAGUAGGCUACCGGCCACCCA
Molecule: long non-coding RNA, 3357 nt
Organism: Oncorhynchus keta (chum salmon)
Lineage: Eukaryota; Metazoa; Chordata; Actinopteri; Salmoniformes; Salmonidae
Exons: 4
Source: RefSeq, a predicted model, not a curated record